Molecule: ribosomal RNA, 3036 nt
Filed under: Psychroflexus gondwanensis ACAM 44
Lineage: Bacteria; Pseudomonadati; Bacteroidota; Flavobacteriia; Flavobacteriales; Flavobacteriaceae
Description: bacterial LSU rRNA
Rfam family: Bacterial large subunit ribosomal RNA
Source: RNAcentral
UUACUUCUUUUAAUUAAGGAGUAGGAGUACUUUAGAGUAAAAUAAAUAAAUAAUUAUCGAAUAGAUAAGCUUAUUAAGGGCGUAUGGGGGAUGCCUAGGCUCUCAGAGGCGACGAAGGACGUGACAAGCUGCGAAAAGCUGCGGGGAUUAGCACAUAUGAAUUGAUCCGCAGAUAUCCGAAUGGGGCAACCCACUAUACUGAAGGUAUAGUAUUCCGCAAGGAAAGCGAACCCGGUGAACUGAAACAUCUAAUUAGCCGGAGGAAGAGAAAACAAUAGUGAUUUUGCUAGUAGCGGCGAGCGAACGUGAAACAGCCCAAACCAGUACUGUUACGGCAGUACUGGGGUUGUAGGACUACAAUAUCGUGAUUAAUAAUGAACCCGAAUACUUUGGAAAGAGUUCCCAUAGAAGGUGACAGGCCUGUAGGGGUAAGAUAUUAAUGAUGUAGUAGUAUCCUGAGUAGUGCGGGGCACGAGAAACCUUGCAUGAAUCAGCCGGGACCAUCCGGUAAGGCUAAAUACUACUGAGAGACCGAUAGUGAACCAGUACCGUGAGGGAAAGGUGAAAAGAACCUUGAAUAAAGGAGUGAAAUAGACCCUGAAACCAUACGCUUACAAGCGGUCGGAGCCCCGAUAACUAUCGGGGUGACGGCGUGCCUUUUGCAUAAUGAGCCUACGAGUUACCACCGUUAGCAAGGAUAAAUAAUUCAGUUAUGGAUCCGUAGCGAAAGCGAGUCUGAAUAGGGCGAUUAAGUUAGCUGUGGUAGACGCGAAACCGUGUGAUCUACCCUUGGGCAGGUUGAAGCUGUGGUAACACAUAGUGGAGGACCGAACCCGUUGACGUUGAAAAGUCUUGGGAUGACCUGAGGGUAGGGGUGAAAGGCCAAUCAAACUCGGAAAUAGCUCGUACUCCCCGAAAUGCAUUUAGGUGCAGCGAUUAAAUAGUUUUAUAGAGGUAGAGCUACUGAUUGGAUGCGGGGGCUUCACCGCCUACCAAUUCCUGACAAACUCCGAAUGCUAUAAAAUGUUUUUAAUCAGUGAGGGCAUGGGUGCUAAGGUCCAUGUCCGAGAGGGAAAGAACCCAGAGCAUCAGCUAAGGUCCCAAAAUAUAUACUAAGUUGAACAAACGCGGUCAGACUGCUUAGACAGCUAGGAUGUUGGCUUGGAAGCAGCCAUUCAUUUAAAGAGUGCGUAACAGCUCACUAGUCGAGCGGUCAGGCAUGGAUAAUAAUCGGGCAUAAGUAUAUUACCGAAGCUAUGCUUUUACAAUUAAUUUUGUAAGAGGUAGGGGAGCAUUCUAAACAGCGCAGAAGGUGUACUGUAAGGUAUGCUGGAGCGUUUAGAAAAGAAAAUGUAGGCAUAAGUAACGAUAAUGCGGGCGAGAAACCCGCACACCGAAAGACCAAGGAUUCCUCAGCUAUGCUAAUCAGCUGAGGGUUAGUCGGGGCCUAAGGCGAACCCGAAAGGGGUAGUCGAUGGACAAGCAGUUAAUAUUCUGCUACCUGCUUUAAAUUAAACGAGACGGAGAAGGAAAUCUAGUGCGUGCAGACGGAAUUGCACGUUGAAUCUACUGUAAGGUAGAGAUAGUACACCAAAGCUACGGUGGCGGUGAUAAUCUAGAGGCCGUUCUUCCAAGAAAAUCAAUUAAAGCAGCCCGUACCGUAAACCGACACAGGUAGUUGGGAUGAGAAAUCUAAGGUGCUCGAGAGAUUCAUGGCUAAGGAACUAGGCAAAAUGGGCCCGUAACUUCGGGAGAAGGGUCGCCCCCACUUUUGAGUGGGGGCCGCAGUGAAGAGGUCCAGGCGACUGUUUAUCAAAAACACAGGGCUCUGCUAAAUCGAGAGAUGCAGUAUAGGGCCUGACACCUGCCCGGUGCUGGAAGGUUAAGAGGAGAUGUUAUCUUCGGAGAAGCAUUGAAUUGAAGCCCCAGUAAACGGCGGCCGUAACUAUAACGGUCCUAAGGUAGCGAAAUUCCUUGUCGGGUAAGUUCCGACCUGCACGAAUGGUGCAACGAUCUGGACACUGUCUCAGCCAUGACCUCGGUGAAAUUGUAGUAUCGGUGAAGAUGCCGAUUACCCGCUGUGGGACGAAAAGACCCCGUGAACCUUUACUAUAGCUUAGUAUUGACUUUGGAUAAGUGAUGUGUAGGAUAGGUGGGAGACAUUGAAGCGGCCUCGCUAGGGGCAGUGGAGUCAUUGUUGAAAUACCACCCUUUACUUGUUUGAAGCCUAACCCCAACUUUUGUUGGGGGACAUUACUUGGUGGGUAGUUUGACUGGGGUGGUCGCCUCCAAAAGAGUAACGGAGGCUUCUAAAGGUUCCCUCAGCACGCUUGGUAACCGUGCGUAGAGUGCAAUGGCAUAAGGGAGCUUGACUGAGAGACCUACAAGUCGAUCAGGUACGAAAGUAGAGCAUAGUGAUCCGGUAGUUCCGCAUGGAAGGGCUAUCGCUCAAAGGAUAAAAGGUACUCCGGGGAUAACAGGCUGAUCUCCCCCAAGAGCUCACAUCGACGGGGGGGUUUGGCACCUCGAUGUCGGCUCGUCACAUCCUGGGGCUGGAGAAGGUCCCAAGGGUUGGGCUGUUCGCCCAUUAAAGUGGCACGCGAGCUGGGUUCAGAACGUCGUGAGACAGUUCGGUCUCUAUCUACAGUGGGCGUUAGAAAUUUGCGUGGAUCUGACUCUAGUACGAGAGGACCGAGUUGGACAAACCUCUGGUGUACCAGUUGUUCCGCCAGGAGCAUUGCUGGGUAGCUACGUUUGGAAGGGAUAAGCGCUGAAAGCAUAUAAGCGCGAAACCCACCACAAGAUGAGAUUUCUUUAAAGGAUCCCCAAAGACGAUGGGGUUGAUAGGUCACAGGUGUAAAGGCAGUAAUGUCAUAGCCAAGUGAUACUAAUUAUCCGAAGAGCUUAUCUAUGAGACGAUUAUUACUUUAUUUUACCCUUGACUUUACGUUUUGUUAUAUAUCUUUAACUAUGUCACGAUAUUAGAAUUCCCGCAACAGCUGGAACUUUACUUUUAAAAGAUAAUUGAGAACUACU